UCAAUUACCUAUACUAGUAUUGUCACUCUCUUAACCAUAAUACAAUAUUUAAAUUUUGAAUUCAAAUGAAUUGACUCUAUAAUUACGAAAACUCUUCAUUCUUUCAUACUUGAAUUUUGGCAUAAUAUUUGAGAGAGAGCAUAGAGAGGUAAUCAAGUGGGAGCUUUCCAUAACUCCGGCGAAAUUCUUGGUGGCUUCUGGUGGGUCUUUUCUCGAUAUAUCCAUUGUCAUUCCCGUGGAUGACGGUGCAUGAUCCGGUGUUGCACAAAUCUGAGCUCAACAUCAAGAACACUUCAUUGGUGGUGUUGAAGAAGCUUUGGGUCGUUUUGGUUCGAUUUUACACUUUGAUAGUUUAUUAUUUCGUAUUGUAGUUGUAAUAAUCUUUUAUAAACUACACUUUAAACUCUACAGGUUAUUUCUCAAGUUUGAAGCUUUGGAGAGCCUUUCAUCUCCUGUUAGCCUCUUCGAAGGUUCAACUCUUCACAAGAAGUUUCUCCAGUGUUCCAAUUUUUUGGUUAUAUAUACAGCAUAAUGCCUUUAUCUAUUGCUAUGGCACCCCCAAAUGAUCCUGCCAACACAAUCUUCCAUGUCCUCAAAUCCAGCGAAAGAUGUAACCUCUUUGAACUUGUUGAUGGCAAGCUUUGGGUGACAAAUGUGCUUCUGCUUACUGAAAUUCCAAGCAAUGUCAUCUUUAAAGGUUUUUCUUCAAUAUGCCAAUCCUCUCAUGCUCCCGUUUCACUGUUUGAGCAUGUCCAUUCACUGUCUUUCAAGAAAGGAUUUCUUGGAUUCAGCAAGGACGAACUUCUGACACGUUAAUAAACUCCCUUGGGAAAUUUAGUGGAAGGGAUUUUCUCUGCAUUUUCAGGUUCAAAACAUGGUGGUCUACUCAGUGGGUUGGGAAUUUCGAGAUCGGAUUUGUAGAUGGAAACACAAUGGAUAUUGUUUGAUGUGCCUGAAAUGAAGUCUUACGUUGUAAUUUUACCAAUAAUUGAAGGCAAAUCCAGAUCUGUCAUUCACCCUAGAACUGAAGGUCAUGUUAUGAUUUGUUUUGACGCUAUUGCAUAUGGUCAUGUAUUUGAAAAUUCAUAUAAUUUGAUGAAAG
This 1102-nucleotide long non-coding RNA is filed under the name Olea europaea subsp. europaea. The record is from RNAcentral. Lineage: Eukaryota; Viridiplantae; Streptophyta; Magnoliopsida; Lamiales; Oleaceae.